This is a non-coding RNA of Doryrhamphus excisus (bluestripe pipefish), 2485 nucleotides long. The record is from RefSeq and is a predicted model, not a curated record. NCBI's taxonomy places the organism in Eukaryota, Metazoa, Chordata, Actinopteri, Syngnathiformes, Syngnathidae.
UCAAACAAACAAACAAAGAAGGUAUAUGUGGUGUAGCUGUUUGAGAAUACUCGUGUCGACCAGCAAUGACGUCAUAGGAGGCGACGGCGCUGGCGGCAAAAAUAACUUUUUGGUACAUUGUAAAUAAAGACACGUUACGAAGACAGUUGGACUCACGCAUUAUAUUUAAUAACGCAACAGUUUGGAGUCAUUUUGAAUAUUGGUCAGCACAGACAUGGCUUAUCCAUCGUCAAUUUCCGACUUGCGAUCGUCUCCAUCUUCGGAAACAGUCAGUCAUUGCAGAGGGAGCCACAGCUGUAUUUAUCCUGCAUGAGACCAGGAUUCUGUUACCAGUCCCUCAACGAAAGCACAAAGUUCCGCCUGAGCAGCAGAAAUCAGAUAAUGGGCAAUUUCAGCAAGGGGUGUGACAGCUCUGCUUCUAUGGGCAAAGUCCAGGUAAUAAGACAGGAGGUGGGAUGAGAUAGGAGAAGUGAUGAAGAAAACUGUUGCGUGAUAAAGAUCUUUCACAGCCUCUGGGUGAAGUUCUCAGGGAAUACUCCUUUGGUGGCAUUCUCCUUUUUCUGCAUCCAAUCUUCUUGUUUCAUUCCCAUCAACCAGCCGUCAUCCUUAAGACGAGGACAAACACAUCCAGUCAUUAUCGACUCUGCAUGAAAAAUCGAAAGUUGUGUGUGCGUACCUGUUCCUCUGGGUUGUCAAAGGGAAUUACUAGCACCACAUCUCCUGCCUUCAUCUCAAGUUCGUCAGUGUCGUUGGCUGCAUAGUCAUGCAUCACCUGGACCUAUACCAUACACACACAGACAAUAUCAGAUAUAAGAUUGUUCUGCUUCAAUUCUCCUACUCGGGAUCAGGUCUUACCUUAAACAAAAAUCCAGGGGGCAUGCCUGGUGACUCCGCGUCUUCCUCUGCUGCUGUCGCUAUUGGUUCUUCAUUUACCACAGGUGUCUGGACGGGAGAAGACCACAUAUUUAGCUUUAAAAAGGAUGAACAAUCCAGAAUUUCUGCAAUAGUUUCACAAUGAGAUACAGGAAUAUCAACCAAAAAAAUGUUUUUCUUCCAAAAUUUUUUGGAAGAAAACCAUGCUAACUGUCUUGGUAGCCUUGAUAGCUUCAUGCAAGAUCUCACUUUGUAAGUAAGGGUGAGUCUGAGAAAGAUGAAGCAUCGGACCAGAAUUACUCAGCAAGAGCUGGUUGUUGAUGUCAAGGGAGUUGGGAGCACAGUUACUAAGAAACAGUUUUCUAUGCCGCUUAUCCUCACUGGAGCCUACCCCAGCUGUCUUCGGGUGAGAGGCAGGGUACACCCUGGAUUGGUCGCCAGCCAAUCACAGGGCACAUAUCGACAAACAACCAUUCACACUCACAUUCAUACCUAUGGACAAUUUGGAGUCGGCAAUUAACCUAGCAUGUUUUUGGAAUGUGGGAGGAAACCGGAGUACCUGGAGAAAACCCAGACACGCACGGGGAGAACAUGCAAACUCCACACAGAGAUGCCAAGCGGAGAUUUGAACCCAGAUAUCCUGACUGUGUGGCUAACAUGCUAACCACUCGUCCACGUUGCGGCUACUUGAGAGCCCACCUCCUUGAAGGUACAAGUACAUGUGUUAGCCUGUCUGACGUUUACCAGAAUGAUGCAGAGAAGGCUUAUGGAAGGUGUGUCCAAAUGCAGCUAUCCAUUUUCAAUUGGCUUGUAUCAAAGUCUAACUAUAUAAUGGAAUAUGGCCCACAUAUGACAUUUACUUAACUUUGUGUACUUUGUACAUUGAACACUAGGUGGCUGCCACUGUCUCCAUAAAGAAAGUGAUCACGGAAUGUAUGUAGGAAACAGAAAUGGCAGAACCAAACAGAUGCAAGGUUGCAAGCAAAUGCAAUGAAAAGGGCCGAAUGAUGACUCCUUGAAUUGGUCAAUAAAAACUGAAUCUGAACAUGGAAUCGCACGGAAAAUUAUGUGAAUGAAAUGUCAAACAUAUACAAAUAUCUUAUAUAUAUAUAAGUGGCCCCAGCAUCCUUUGAGUUUUCCGUAUGUGGCCCUCAGUGGAAAACGUUUGGUUUAGGGCGGACACACUAUUUGCUUGCUAAGGUACAGGAAGACUUCAUCGCCAUGUGCCAUACAAUCUUGGAUGAGAAUCUCAUAAGGACCUAAAAAAAAUGAUCAGGAUAACAGAGGAGUAGCUCAGGAGAUACUAUGUCAUAAAUAUUUUGUGACUUGGAGUUCCUGACCAAAAGCCUUGAAACUUUCACAAUUUGGAAAGUAUCCAUAAAGAGGAGUGCAGCAAAAUAUCCCUCCUGACGUGUCUGCAACCCUGCAUCAGCUGCUACAAACAUCUUGACUCAAUCGAAUCAAGUUUUAUUUGAAUAUCCUUUACUGUUUUUCCUGGAUUUUUGUAAUCUGUCACCAACAAACCUACCAUAAAAUGAUGGACUGAAAAGAUUAGAAAAUCUUGCCAAGCAAGCAUACUAACCACAUACCGUGCUGCCCCGUUUUUUAACCA